AUUGAACGCUAGCGGCAUGCCUUACACAUGCAAGUCGAACGGCAGCACGGACUUCGGUCUGGUGGCGAGUGGCGAACGGGUGAGUAAUGUACCGGAACGUGCCCAGUAGCGGGGGAUAACUACGCGAAAGCGUAGCUAAUAUCGCAUACGCCCUACGGGGGAAAGCAGGGGAUCGCAAGUCCUUGCCGGAUUUGAUCGGCCGAUUUCGGAUUAGCUAGUUGGUGAGGUAACGGCUCACCAAGGCGACGAUCCGUAGCUGGGUUGAGAGGCCGACCAGCCACACUGGAACUGAGACACGGCCCAGACUCCUACGGGAGGCAGCAGUGGGGAAUUUUGGACAAUGGGCGAAACCCUGAUCCAGCAAUCCCGCGUGUGCGAUGAAGGCCUUCGGAUUGUAAAGCACUUUUGGCAGGAAAGAAACGUCGCGUGUUAAUACCUCGCGAAACUGACGGUACCUGCAGAGUAAGCACCGGCUAACUACGUG
Molecule: ribosomal RNA, 484 nt
Filed under: uncultured bacterium
Lineage: Bacteria
Description: partial 16S ribosomal RNA
Rfam family: Bacterial small subunit ribosomal RNA
Source: RNAcentral